RNAcentral lists this ribosomal RNA (468 nucleotides) under uncultured bacterium. Its description in RNAcentral is "partial 16S ribosomal RNA". It matches the Rfam family "Bacterial small subunit ribosomal RNA", at positions 28 to 507 of the family's 1533-position model. The record is from RNAcentral.
GACGAACGCUGGCGGCGUGCUUAACACAUGCAAGUCGAACGGAAAGGCCCUGCUUGUGUGUGGUGUUCGAGUGGCGAACGUGUGUGUAACAUGUGAGUAUCCUUCCUUUUACUUUGUGAUAUCUUCAGGAAACUGCUGCUAAUACCUGAUAGGAGCUCCUGCUGCAUGGUGGGGGUUGGAAAGUUUCGGCGGUUGUGGAUGGACUCGCGGCUUAUCAGCUUGUUGGUGGGGUAGUGGCUUACGAAGGCUUUGACGGGUAGCCGGCCUGAGAGGGGGGACGGGGACAUGGGGACUGAGAGAGGGAGCAGAGUGGAAGGGGAGGCAGCAGUGGGGAGUAUUGCCCAAUGAGGGGAAGCGUGAUGAAGAAGCGCCGCGAGCGGGAUGAAGGCCUUCGGGGGGUAAACCGCAGUAACCUAUGACGAAGCGGGAGUGACGGUAAUAGGUAAAGAAGCACCGGCUAACUACGUG